Non-coding RNA from Rattus norvegicus (Norway rat), 5952 nucleotides. The record is from RefSeq and is a predicted model, not a curated record. NCBI's taxonomy places the organism in Eukaryota, Metazoa, Chordata, Mammalia, Rodentia, Muridae.
AGAACAACCCACAGGGUAGGACACCCAGUCACAGAGCCAGGCCUUACAGAGUCAUCCCAGGGACCGAGAACCAUCAAGAAAAAUGGCAUUCCUUUGUAAAUACCCAUCUGGUCACCUGAGCAACUUUACCACAGGAGAAAAAUGGUGCUGAUGAGGCUAAGUUAAUGGAGGAAAAGGUCUGCUUCGCCCACAACACUGAUGUCUACAAGGAGAAAAGGAGCAGGGAGAGACGUGACCCCUUCUGCAUCUGAAAGCUGAGGUCUCACAGUUUUCUAACACACCAGAAAGAGAAACAAUCAAAGGUGUGGAGGAGGUGAUAAAAGUUCGCUUCCCUCACUCGCUCUCUUUUUUCGCUCUUCUUCCUUCAGUCUCUCUGCAGGUGUCAGCCUUUAUAGGGAGCGGCCCGGUAAAACAAAGAUGGCGCCAACAUCCAGCCCCGUCUGGAUAUAAACAACUUAUCGCGCAUGCGCAGGCUUGUCCCCUUGCCAGGGCGGCCAUAGGUUAUCCGGCGCCCUCCUGUGGUGAACAACAGUACUGCGCAUGUGCGGGUUUGUACCUGGUGUCAAUCUGGCCGGGGCGGUACCAUGCUAAUGGGGUGGUUCAUGCUCUGCCAAUCCCUGGAGGACAAGUAGCAGGGGUGCUAGUGCGGUGAUUCGUGCUCCGCCAAUCCCUGAAAGACAAUUAGCAUAGCCCCAGCCUGCUGUGUAUAUAAGGCGAGCGCUUUUGCCGCUCGAGGUCCCCAUAUCAGCAAUGAGGUGGUCCUGCAAUAAAGGCUGUUGAGAAGAGUCAGACCGUGUUGCAUCUUCCUUGCAGGCCGAGGUGGGCGCGAUAAGCCUUGAACUUCCUUCUGUGAGAAAAUCACAAGGGGCAGUGGGGAGCCGGAAGGCUGGAGAACACAGGUUGCCUUUGCAAAGGGUGCCGCCUGUUCUUCGGGCCUGGUUUCCCAAGCCCAGACUCUGUUCAUAUCCCUGACUCCAUAAUGCAUAUCAAGCACUUGAGUAUGUGCAGCACCUCACUAAAGGGGGCCCAUGAGAGUGGGGUCCUUGCUCUGCAACAUGGCAGCCGCACAGAGUAUUUCUUCUGCAAUGUCUUCCAGUCACUUGGAGCUGGUUCUCUAAGUCAAUGGUUCCCAACCUGUGCACCACAACCCCUACAGGAGUGGCUUGUCGGACAUCCUGCACGUCAGAUAUUUACACUGGGAUUCAUAACAGUAGCCAGACUAUAGUUAUGAAGUAGCAUCAAAGUAAUUUUACUUGGGGGUCACCACAACGCGAGGAACCGUAUUCAAGGGCUGCAGCAUCAGGAAGGUUGAGAACCACUGCUUUAAGGAGGGACUUUUGCUUCUUUUCCUGUUCCAUUUGGAGAGGCUAUUGGCCAGGUCUGAACUUAACUAAAAAUGCACGCAGGGCCGGGCAAAUGUUAACUAUUGAAUGACUACAAUUCAAAGAACUCACUGAGAAGAAAGAAGCGAUUGAACAGCUCGACCAAGGAGACGCAUAAGGUUGCUUUCUUGAAGGUUAAAACUCCCUCUUGGUGCCGUUGGUGAGUAUUUGAAAGACCUCACUGGGCAAGAUGGGGUCUGCAUUCAGACCGGAUAGUGCUUUAUCCCCACUUUAGGGAGGAGUAAAUUGAGGCCUAAGGAAAUUUAGAAACUAGAAUAAUCAAAAUGCUUCUAAAGAGUGAGACAGAACCGGAAAGUCACUUCACUAAUUCAAACAUCUCCAUUCUCAGUGAGCUCUGAUUAGGGGCAUUCGCUGCUGUGUGACAUUCGCAUUUACUCUCUGCUGUGGUUGUGGAGUGCUGGGGUGAAACUCGGUCUUUCAUAUGAGAGGACAACACUUUACUCCUGAGCUACCUCCUGUCUAGCUUGCUGUAGAGCAUCUUAAUAGCUCCCCAGGGAGCUAAUGAAGCUGUCCGAUCAUUAGGCCCAUUUUAUGGAUUCAAAUUAUGAAGGGCAGGGAUGAAAGGGCUGGGAACGCCAGCCGCUAACCUGUUCAUCCUACAGGAUUCAUGGAUGUUGUUGCUUUCUCUUUCCUCAGUUCGUAGUGAAAUCCUAGCUAGUCCAUAAUCUCUCUUUUUCUGUCUUCUCUACCCCUCUUCAUUCUUUCUUCUCUUGUCUACAAACAAUACACACACACACACACACACACACACACAUACACACAGACACACACGCUCACAUGAAAAAGAAUGAAGGAUGGAUGGAUAGACAGACAGACAAUAUUAAUUCUUCAUUGGUCAUAGAGUCUUGCAGAUGCAGUUUUGGGAGCUGUCCAUAGUUUUGCAAGUAGGGGGGGCAGUAGCAAUGUCAGUAGCAGCAUUCCAUUUCAGGAUAAAGACACCAACAAUGGCUGUUGGAGAGUGGAAUCAGCUCCAAGUUGAGUAAUAACAUCCAGGCUGGCUGGCUAAGUCACCACCUUAAGCGGUUGGUGUGUACCGCAAUCAAGGUUCAUCACUAGCAUCGUGACAGAGAGAAACCCGCGGACCUCCCAUAGAACUUUUCAUGUCAGAAAGCUACCUACUUCACAACUAUUUAUUUGCUACCUCCUAUCACGCUUGUUUGCCUCAUUUCAGGGGAUUCACUCCCACCUCCAUCGACAUCUCAAUACACUGGAGAGGGCAGGAUACCAGUCUUGGGAGGGGAAAAUCAUUUCCAUCCCAGAGAAGCAAGUAGCUUCUGUACAGGAGACUGGUGCCAGACAGAAACACUUUAGGAAAAGGCCCAAGAUCUUUCUCAUGGGUUUCCAGAGCCAGGGAGCAACUUAACAGUGUGCCAAAGCCAGGGUCUUGUAGGGUCCAUGAAGGAGGUCUCUCCCUGUAGACAGGCUCCUCACUCUCCAGUGUGUACAGCCCCGUUGACUUUUUUUUUUCCGAGCUGGGGACCGAACCCAGGGCCUUGCGAUUGCUAGGCAAGCGCUCUACCACUGAGCUAAAUCCCCAUCCCGUCCCCGUUGACUUUUGACAGCUACUCCCAACUAUCUAUCUCUCUCAUCAGGGUACUGGAUGGGUAUAGAAAGUCAGGGUAUUCCAGGAGCAAGCCUGAGCCCCACAUUAGCCACUCAACUCCAGUGACUAGUGAGAAAAGAAAGGGGAAUCAUGUACUCACCUUGCAGAGGCACCGGGCAUGGAGUGUGGACUGUGAGAGCAGGUUCCUUGUACCCAGCUUCCAAGACAACCAUUCUAUUCUCUUGGCUACCCAGUAAGGAUAAUAACACACGCAUCACUGGGGAUUUCUAGGACAGGUGAAGGCAAUCACAUCCAACAAUUCUGCGCAGACCCUGACAUACCAUAAGCCACAGUCACUGAGCACUUUCUAAACAUCCAGAUGGAAAAUAUUUACUUGUUGUGUGCCAUGCUGUGUUGGCCCCAACUGCUGGGAGCAGCCAUUGUCUAUAUGGAAAUCAAUGUGACAGUGUUCUACUAAGUCUUUAUUUACAGGAACAAGUAAGUGGCUGGCAAGAUGUGGCUGUCAUGUGUAGCUUUCUGACACUUGCUUGUUGGUGUUCCUAAUGGCUAAAUGUUGGCAGUGUCGAUGAUGGGCAUCGUGAUAAUGAGCCAUUAUACACAGAGAAUUGUGGGUAAAUAACAAGACAUGGUCUCUAUCUUCUGGUAACCUGAAAGUGUCAGGGGAAGGGAAGCUUCUCUUCAGAAACCUACAUAAGGUCCACUCUACCCAAAAGGGAUAUUAAAAUUAACAGCUGUAAAAUGGAGAGCUGUAGGAGUCACUGGAGUUACUCAUUUUUUGUUUUGUAAAAUCCCAACUUCACCCUAGGAAAAGUUAAUCAGAACGACGUCCCACUUUCCAGAUGUUAUAUUCCAUUUAGAAACUUUUAUUUAGAAACUUUCACCUUUUCCCAGGAAAGAUCCAAGUGGACAGUGCUGUCACACACGGAAAGCAACUGGAGUAGCCCUCCGUGAAAUAGAGCAUCGCAGAGAAGGAAGCUGGGCUGCUUGGUCUGCACUCAGCCACUUCGCUCAAGUCAAUGCUGGGGCAGUCAGAAGAGCAGCUUGAUGUGUUCGGAGAGGGCUCUUGAACUCAGUCAGCAGCCUUGAGAAGUCACAAGUGGAACAGAUCAUCCAUAAUGCCAAGGCGGAACUCCAGAGAUGUCUCCAGCAGCUGAGGGAGGGUGAAAAGUGUGUUAAAGACCACCUACCACCAUCUGCCUGGCUAUCGUCUCUCUCUCUCUCUCUCUCUCCUCUCUCUCUCUCUCUCUCUCUCUCUCACACACACACACACACAUCUAUACCAGUCAAUAUCAAUUUAUCAUCUAUCGUCUAUGUCUAUUACCAUAUCCUCUCUCUCUCUCUCUCUCUCUCUCUCUCUCUCUCUCUCUCUCCUCUCCCCCCUCUCUCUCUCACACACACAUCUAUACCAGUCAAUAUCAAUUUAUCAUCUACCGUCUAUGUCUGUCUACCAUAUCAUCACUCUCUCUCUCUCUCUCUCUCUCUCUCUCUCUCUCUCUCUCUCACACACACACACACACAUCUAUACCAGUCAAUAUCAAUUUAUCAUCUAUCAUCUAUGUCUAUUACCAUAUCAUCUACCUCUCUCUCUCUCUCUCUCUCUCUCUCUCUCUCCUCUCCCCCCUCUCUCUCUCACACACACACAUCUAUACCAGUCAAUAUCAAUUUAUCAUCUAUCAUCUAUGUCUAUUACCAUAUCAUCUACCUCUCUCUCUCUCUCUCUCUCUCUCUCUCUCUCUCUCCCCCCUCUCUCUCUCACACACACACAUCUAUACCAGUCAAUAUCAAUUUAUCAUCUACCGUCUAUGUCUGUCUACCAUAUCAUAUCUCUCUCUCUCUCUCUCUCUCUCUCUCUCUCUCUCUCUCUCUCCUCUCCCCCCUCUCUCUCUCUCACACACACACAUCUAUACCAGUCAAUAUCAAUUUAUCAUCUACCGUCUAUGUCUGUCUACCAUAUCAUAUCUCUCUCUCUCUCUCUCUCUCUCUCUCUCUCUCUCUCUCUCUCUCUCUACCUGUGCCUCUAUAGCUAUAUAUUAUCUACCUCAACUAGACUUCAACAUCAGUGAGAUCAGUUACAUGCUAGGUGUUAGACAGUUGCAUCACCUAGCCCUUCCUCUUCUGAGAAGACCUGAACCAAGCUUGAUUUAAUAGGAGGCCAGCUAUUUUCCAAACUUACUUAUCUCUCCCUGGCUGAACAGGUAGUGUCAGCAUUUCCUGGACACACCUGCUAAGAGACACAAAUGUAAGUUAAAAGUGGAGCUCAUGCCCACUACAGGACACUAGCAGAAGUUCCAUGGAAGGUUCACUGUGUGGCUGUCUCGGAGGGCCUGAGAAAGCAGCUAGACACGCUGAGUUCCGGUCAAUGACUGGUAUUUACCAAAUUCAAAUUCUUUAGGAAAGGACAUUAAGGUUGGGGGUAUAGCUUAGUGGCAGAGCCUAGGUUAAAACAGGCCACACUUUGGUUUCAGAAACUCACAGUAGCCAAAGUAAAAGGCAGUGACUCAGAAGACCAAGGCACUUUGCAUGCACUUCUGGUAUGUAUUCCCCCCUUACUUCCACCUCUUCUGGUGGACUUUUCCCCUUGGAAACCGCCUAGGCUGUGCCUUUGCCCCGCCCCCAAUGCAUAUCACCAUUUACCUCAUAGGGCUUUGUUCCUCCUCCUGCUCCAUUUCCUCUGAGAGAUGCAGGCCUUCCGUUUCUCUCUGUCACCCCCACCCUCCAGAACAGUACCCAGGUUCACCAACAUGACUAGGUGUCCUGUACUCUCGAUCCCUCCUCCCUCCUCUCCUGAUGUUUGCCAUUAAGCAGGCUUCUGGGAGGUGGGGGUGGGGGGGGCGGACUUGGGGCUUGGAGUUCUAAGCCCCAGCCCAAACUUAGCCAGGACUCUAAUUUUCAAAGACAACCACAAAAUGAAUAUCAAAGAAUCUGCAGAAUCCACAUUGGGAAACCUGUCAGAAAAUUGUUGGGAAAAUAAAGUGAAUCAAUAGA